This 890-nucleotide long non-coding RNA is filed under the name Homo sapiens (human). Its description in RNAcentral is "HSALNT0351822". Lineage: Eukaryota; Metazoa; Chordata; Mammalia; Primates; Hominidae. The record is from RNAcentral.
UAUACGUAUAUACACACACACACACAUAUAUAAAGCAAAUUGUGACCGUUGUGUAGUGAGAGAAUGAUUUUUUUUUUAUUCCUUUCAGUCUUUUUCAUGUGUCAUUUGUGUAUGAGAACUGUUGAAGCUUAGAGAUGAAUGACUUAGAAAUUUUGUCUUGGAUCUCAAAGGGUAGUAACAUCUCAGAGGGUCAGUUCUACCCAGUGUUUGGACCUCAGUUUUCCAGAACCAGGCUCUCGAUUUUUUUUUUUAAAGAAGCUUUAUUAAGUUAUGUUUUAUAUACCAUAAAAUUCACUCCAUUCAAUUAGAUUUUUUUGGUUACAUUUUGAACAUUUCUGUCAUCCCCCAAAGAUCCCUGUGCCCAUCCAGGCCUGCCUUUUGCAUAACUCUAAGCGUGCACAGUCCCAUUCCUGUUUGCAGUGUUCUCUCCUGGACCAGCUUUGAAGAAUGCCAUCCGGGACUUUGAGUACCCCUGCUCCACACUGUCAAAAUCCUUUCAGAGAACUCUGCUCCCAGAAAACAAAAGCCAAGGAAACAGAUUUGUUUUAGGCCCAGUGAUAGAACUCUUCUCAAAGGAAAGGUGACAUUUAGGUCUAGUUUAUUCUCAGAACAGGGAAAAAAAAAAAUCCUAGCAAGGAGCACAGCAUGCAUCAGUAGCUCAAUGAUUUAUUCUGCCUCAGUAGGAUGGGGUGGACUUACUGGGCAACCACUGACUUCAUUUAAUGGUAACCUGCAGGCUGUGAUUUUAGUGCUUUUGACCGACCAGUUGGUAUGCUGAAGAAUGCUUUGUGGGCCUUCGUGAACACCUUAUUUUGUAGAAGUGAGUCUUUGGAAGUAUUUUUACUCUUACCAGUGGGCACAGUUAUCUGUUUACCAGGUCCAUAGCAAAG